UACGGAGGGUGCAAGCGUUGUUCGGAAUCACUGGGCGUAAAGGGCGAGUAGGCGGUCCGCUAAGUCUGAUGUGAAAGCCCGGGGCUCACCCCCGGAAGUGCAUUGGAAACUGACGGACUCGAGUCCCGGAGAGGAAGGUGGAAUUCCUGGUGUAGCGGUGAAAUGCGUAGAUAUCAGGAGGAACAUCGGAGGCGAAGGCGGCCUUCUGGACGGUGACUGACGCUGAUCCGCGAAAGCGUGGGGAGCAAACAGG
RNAcentral lists this ribosomal RNA (253 nucleotides) under uncultured prokaryote. Its description in RNAcentral is "partial 16S ribosomal RNA". It matches the Rfam family "Bacterial small subunit ribosomal RNA", at positions 524 to 776 of the family's 1533-position model. The record is from RNAcentral.